Molecule: long non-coding RNA, 1217 nt
Filed under: Gallus gallus (chicken)
Lineage: Eukaryota; Metazoa; Chordata; Aves; Galliformes; Phasianidae
Description: lncRNA (ENSGALG00010006234.1)
Source: RNAcentral
AAUGUAUCUGAGAAUGUAAACCCUGGGCAGUUCUGACUUGCAAAUUCUCUAAAUUUCAAUGAACAGUAGCUGCAGGACUAUUUUAUUUCAUGAUGCAGCACUCAUUUAUCAGUGAUUAUCUUGAACUUUAUCCCUUUUAGAUUUUAUAGAGUUAACAGUUGAUGGAAUCAGGAUUGUACAGUGUAGGCAGUAUUGCUGGAACUCGUGUAAUGAUUAGCUUAACAACAUACCCUUAAAGUGAACAGCAGAAAUCUGCUACAAAAUUUAUUCCUUCUUUUCAUGCAUCUGUGAGAGGAAAAAGUAAGAAGUACAGAAUAAUUUUGUGAAACGAGGUUUAGAAUUUAUGCUGUACUUUCUCUGUGUAAUUUCUGAGAAGGCAACAUGAAAAUGUCUCUUAAAACUGAGGGGUGGAUUCACGCUUUCUAACUUAGGUUACUGAAGCUUCAGGUACUCAGCCUAAGUGAGGAGGCAGCCUCUCCUCUCAGACUAAAUAUAGGCUCAAUUUAGAGAGAGACAGGCUGCUGUAGAGGGUAAUUUAAAGCAGAAAUACAGUUUUCAGUGCUCUGAGGUCGCAUACUGAAUUUCGAUUCUCUCAUGGUGCUCCUCCUGUAUAUUUGGGCUCUGGAGUGAAACUGGCAGAUCUUCAAUGUGACAAAACCACUACCUCUCCACUGUGUGCACAGGGAGCUUAGGAAAACCAGGCUUGGAUAUAAACUCCAGCUUGCAUAUAUCAUCACUGUGCCAUGAAAAAACAAUCCUUUUCUUUCCUGACAAGAAUCAUAAAAGGUGCUGUGUGCAAGAUUCACUUGGAAACAUCAAAUGAUUUCAUUGGAGACAGCAAGAGGCAGAGCGGCAUAGGCAUCCCACUGCUCUGUAAUGCUGGAGCAAGUUCCUAUUGCUAUGUCCCCCGGGGCUCCUCUUAUCCUGUUCCAAAUUGUUGGGCGAUGCUGUAAUGCAGAUGUCCUACAUGAAUACCUGGUGGGGAUACAUCCAGAUGGGAUCCAGGAGGACAUGGAGUCCCUGGGAGCCACAGGGCCAUCAGUUCUGCCCAGCCUUGCCCACUCCUUGCAGGGAAGUAAUUAUGGCCUUUUCUUCAGAUAAGAAGUUUCACUCUGAGAGUAGCAACUAGAGGAGUUUUCCUUGUAAGCUUUUUUUUUUUUUCUUUAAGGAAAGGUGUUUCACUCAAGUUGUAUAUAAAUGACAGAAAUCAAACUGAC